Molecule: ribosomal RNA, 495 nt
Filed under: uncultured bacterium
Lineage: Bacteria
Description: partial 16S ribosomal RNA
Rfam family: Bacterial small subunit ribosomal RNA
Source: RNAcentral
GACGAACGCUGGCGGCGUGCCUAAUACAUGCAAGUAGAACGCUGAAGGAGGAGCUUGCUCUUCUGGAUGAGUUGCGAACGGGUGAGUAACGCGUAGGUAACCUGCCUGGUAGCGGGGGACAACUAUUGGAAACGAUAGCUAAUACCGCAUAACAGUAGAUGUUGCAUGACAUUUGCUUAAAAGGUGCAAUUGCACCACUACCAGAUGGACUUGCGUUGUAUUAGCUAGUUGGUGGGGUAACGGCUCACCAAGGCGACGAUACAUAGCCGACCUGGGAAGGUGAUCGGCCACACUGGGACUGAGACACGGCCCAGACUCCUACGGGAGGCAGCAGUAGGGAAUCUUCGGCAAUGGACGGAAGUCUGACCGAGCAACGCCGCGUGAGUGAAGAAGGUUUUCGGAUCGUAAAGCUCUGUUGUAAGAGAAGAACGAGUGUGAGAGUGGAAAGUUCACACUGUGACGGUAUCUUACCAGAAAGGGACGGCUAACUACGUG